GGGGGCUCGUUUCCGGGGUCCCGCCGAGUGGGGGCGGUGGGGCCAGGCCGCCCGACCUCCGAGAUGUCUCGCUUUCCAGGGCGUGACCGCGGCCGGCCGCGCCCUCUCCCUCUCCCACUCCAGUUGCUUUCACUGAAGCCCUCCUUUUGUCCCUGAGGCUUGAAUUUUAAGAUGUUCAUAGAGUCCCAAGAGAGCUGAAUCCGGGGUCGGAAACGUCCGCCGGUUAUUCUGGCAUAUUCUACUGAAUUCUACAGCUGAAAGGAACCAUCCCCGGCUGGAGACUCCCAGGACGAUGGGACGGAGGAGGAAUCAAAUUCUUCAGUCGAGGCCUUCCUGGCUGUUUCAGAGCUCUGUGGUUGGCGUGGUUGAAACUUGAGAUACUUGCAAUGUAUUGUAUGACUGGGAAGAAGAAUAAA
This 416-nucleotide long non-coding RNA is filed under the name Canis lupus familiaris (dog). Its description in RNAcentral is "lncRNA (ENSCAFG00040009935.1)". The record is from RNAcentral. Lineage: Eukaryota; Metazoa; Chordata; Mammalia; Carnivora; Canidae.